This 57-nucleotide transfer RNA is filed under the name Mesocricetus auratus (golden hamster). Lineage: Eukaryota; Metazoa; Chordata; Mammalia; Rodentia; Cricetidae. The record is from Rfam by way of RNAcentral.
GGCUCAGUGGUUAAGAGCACUGACUGCUCUCUCAGAGGACCUGGGUUCAAUUCCCAG